UGAGGAAUAUUGGUCAAUGGACGAGAGUCUGAACCAGCCAAGUAGCGUGCAGGAUGACGGCCCUAUGGGUUGUAAACUGCUUUUGUUUGGGAAUAAUCGACAUUACGUGUAAUGUUUUGCAUGUACCAUUCGAAUAAGGACCGGCUAAUUCCGUGCCAGCAGCCGCGGUAAUACGGAAGGUCCAGGCGUUAUCCGGAUUUAUUGGGUUUAAAGGGAGUGUAGGCGGUUGGUUAAGCGUGUUGUGAAAUGUAGAUGCUCAACAUCUGACUUGCAGCGCGAACUGGCUGACUUGAGUACACACAACGUAGGCGGAAUUCAUGGUGUAGCGGUGAAAUGCUUAGAUAUCAUGAAGAACUCCGAUUGCGAAGGCAGCUUACGGGAGUGUUACUGACGCGUAAGCUCGAAGGUGCGGGUAUCGAACAGG
RNAcentral lists this ribosomal RNA (424 nucleotides) under Verrucomicrobiota bacterium. RNAcentral describes it as "Verrucomicrobia bacterium partial 16S ribosomal RNA". It matches the Rfam family "Bacterial small subunit ribosomal RNA", at positions 355 to 776 of the family's 1533-position model. Lineage: Bacteria; Pseudomonadati; Verrucomicrobiota. The record is from RNAcentral.